UCAGCAACAUGAUAAUGUCGAAAUAAGUCAUUAAAACAGAACCUUGCGGGGCGUCCUCCUGACCUCCUUGGUGGAGAAACGAGCAAAACAAAAAAUAAAAAAGAAGAAAAGAAAAGAAAAGAAAAGAAAAAGAAAAGAAAAAGAAAAGAAAAAGAAAAAG
RNAcentral lists this small RNA (160 nucleotides) under Histoplasma capsulatum var. duboisii H88. RNAcentral describes it as "Histoplasma capsulatum H88 hypothetical RNA". The record is from RNAcentral. Lineage: Eukaryota; Fungi; Ascomycota; Eurotiomycetes; Onygenales; Ajellomycetaceae.